This is a long non-coding RNA of Lontra canadensis (Northern American river otter), 548 nucleotides long. RefSeq lists it as uncharacterized. The transcript has 3 exons. NCBI's taxonomy places the organism in Eukaryota, Metazoa, Chordata, Mammalia, Carnivora, Mustelidae. The record is from RefSeq and is a predicted model, not a curated record.
CAACUUCUGAAAGUCUCCCCAGUGAAGAUUUACUGUCUUGGAUCCUGACCAUGCAUCAGAUUUUGCAGCCAAGUAUAAACGUGCAGGUGGGAAGAAUGGUCGUUAUGCUGUGAAGUGUGAUGUAAAGCGUUCGGGAGAAGACUGCCUACACGCAAUGUAUUUUGCUCACAAGUCAUGCUUGUGAUUAUCAUGGGUGAUUGAUUUCUUUGGAUUACCCACGGUCCUUCUUUCCUUCUAGUCAGACCUCUUUUAAAAUGCAAGUAUUCGUGGUAGACAUGAAUAAUACAUCAAUAAACAUUUUGAUACCAAAACCUUACUAUGAACACACUUUCUAUUUCUAGUUCUUUCUGACAAAAGGGGAUCUGGAUUAUCCUAAGAAGAUCUGUUGGAGGAGGAUGGUAAAGGCGAAUCAAUAGAGGUGGUACCAGGAAUGUCCUGAGGAUUCCUAUAAAAAUAUGCCCAGAAACCUAAGGGCCCAGACUUAUUGCUGAUACUGUGAGUUGGAGAAUCUCAUCUCUCCUUUUAGCCUGCUUAAAGGAAAAAAAAAA